GCCGUGAAGUAAAACACCAUUCUUCCGAGAACCUCUGAGCUUAUACACAGAAUUCAGCCAUGAAGUUUCAAAUCCUGGUUUUUCUCCUGCUGCUGGCUUGCAUGUAUCCCAGUGUGGCACAAGGUUCCUAUGAAAACUGCUGUUUGAGGUACAUUGUAGGGGUGAGGAAGGCCGUAAGAAAAAACAUAGUGAGUUACAGAGAGCAGCAAACAGAUGGAGGAUGUAACAUUCCUGCUAUUGUUUUUAAGCUGAAGAACUCUAAGACGCUCUGUGGUGAUCCGAGACAAAUCUGGGUGCAAAAACUCAUGCGGACAAUAAAUAACAGAAACACAGGCUCUAUGUAGUGGACGAGUUUCUGCGACACAUUUGAUCAUGACACUGCAGACAAAACUGUUGUAUUUUUAACCACACACACAAAAAAAUGUCUAUUAUACUAAUACACUAUAAUAUGUAGUUUAUAACACCAUCACUCCUGCUGAUAUAUAUUCUACAUCAGACUGAAUCUUCAUGCUGAGGUUCAUAAUGAACUGCAUUGGUUUGCUUCUGUUCAUUGUAUUAGAACAAUAUGAAUGUACGAACUGUGAAUUUUAUACUUUGUAUAAUUUUAUCUCUUUUUUGAUGUUUUAGUCGAAUAUACGUGUAACCUGUGAACUGCAUAGCCUCUCUCUCUCUCUCUCUCUGUGUGUGUGUAUGUGUGUGCUUGGGUGGGUAAGAGGGCAUUCAGUAUAUAAUAAAGUGUUGCAAUUGUACAUUUAAA
This is a non-coding RNA of Pimephales promelas (fathead minnow), 757 nucleotides long. NCBI's taxonomy places the organism in Eukaryota, Metazoa, Chordata, Actinopteri, Cypriniformes, Leuciscidae. The record is from RefSeq and is a predicted model, not a curated record.